CCCCUAGAUGUUCUGGGCCGCACGCGCGCUACACUGAACAGUUCAACAAGUCUUAACCUUGGCCGAUAGGUCUGGGUAAUCUUUGAACGCUGUUCGUGAUUGGGAUAGACCUUUGCAAUUAUGGGUCUUCAACGAGGAAUUCCUAGUAAACGCAAGUCAUCAGCUUGCAUUGAUUACGUCCCUGCCCUCUGUACACACCGCCCGUCGCACCUACCGAUUGAAUGGUCCGGUGAAAUCUCGGGACGGCGGCUUGGUCGCUUGCGUCCGACUGCUGAAACUUGAUUAAACCAUAUCAUUUAGAGGAAGGUGAANUCGUAACA
RNAcentral lists this ribosomal RNA (320 nucleotides) under uncultured eukaryote. RNAcentral's name for it is "partial 18S ribosomal RNA". It matches the Rfam family "Eukaryotic small subunit ribosomal RNA", at positions 1470 to 1796 of the family's 1831-position model. The record is from RNAcentral.